Long non-coding RNA from Helianthus annuus (common sunflower), 905 nucleotides. RefSeq lists it as uncharacterized. The record is from RefSeq and is a predicted model, not a curated record. The transcript is spliced from 2 exons. NCBI's taxonomy places the organism in Eukaryota, Viridiplantae, Streptophyta, Magnoliopsida, Asterales, Asteraceae.
UAAUUCAAAAAAGGAAAAAUUACAGUUUUCGUCCUUUAUGUUUGUAUUGGAUUACAAUGGAUAACCUUUAACUUCAAUAAUUACAGUCACAGUCCUUUAUUUAAAAAACUCGUUACACCGUAGGUCCUUUAAUACUAACUAGGUUAAAAUUUUAAGUUAAGUUAGCACAUGUUCCUUACACAUGAGGGUAAAUCAGUAAUUUCACUCGUUUAUCUAAAAUAUAUUUAACAAAAAGAUAAAAAUAAUUUACAACAAUAAAAAAUUACAUAUAAAUAUAAUAAUCAUCCCUCUUCAAACUCUGUAUCUGAAACUUCAGAAAACCCCCAAGUUUCACCUUCAUCUUCAUAGCACAGCCUUAUUCCGCCGCACCUCCAUCUUCAUCGCACAACCCUAUUCCGCCGGAGAUAUAGUUCUUCAUCGCAUGCCACCCCUUCUCGUCGUUUAGAGUUCGUUUUUGUGGCUGGAGAUCUGUUCUUCAUCGCACACCGCUAUGGUGGUAUGGCGAAGACGAGCGGGACGAUGGCGGAAGGAACGGCGGUGACGGCGGAAGGAGUGGGCUUCUGUUUUGGUCGGAGAUCUUGUUGAUUUGGGUCUCAACAUCGGUAACGAUAACAAUAGAAGGGUCUAAACCCUAGCAAUGGUGGCGGUUCCAGAACAGAUCCGAUGAGCAGGAGAAAGAGAGAGUGGUGGACGAGGCGGUUGUGGUGUUAUGAGUUUAGAGAGAAAGAGAGAUUGGCAGUGGUGGUGUUAUGAGUUUAGAGAGAGAGAGAGAGUGACGGUGGAGUAGCUCCGAUGAUGGUGGUGGUCAUGUCUUAGGCGGUGGCAGUGGUGGACUUGGGCAGUGGUUGACUGGUUUUAUUUUAGAAAGAGAAAAAGAGAAUGAAACAAGCAGCAUUAUUUAUAUA